CAGAAAUAUAAAACCCAAUCUCAUAAUAGGAGCAUGGAGAUUUGGCCUUCUUCAUUCUUAAUGAUUUUAUUCAGAGAAGAUUAUCUUUCCUUUGUUUCAAACAGUGGUGAUCUGGCACUUGUACAGGCUCCCUGUAGGAGGGGGUUGAGACAGAGAGAGCUGGGAAGAAGCACUUUGAGCUGGAAUGUGUCAUUGAGCAGAUUUAAAGGUAUUUUAAUCAUAGGCCUUUAAUGCUAUUUUAGAACAUAUGCGUGGCUCCCUAGCUUAUCUCCUUCUUUCUACUCCAGCUGCUGAGAAAUAGGCAAAUUGCUCUCAGAAAGACGAAUACAGUAUAUUUAUGGGCCUCUCAUUUUUGAUCCCAAGUGUUGAGAACAAGCAAGUUCACAGAAACGUGUGCCUAGAACAGCGCCCCGUGAUCAGAGAGCUCUGUCUACGGAAGGGCUCCUCUCCCCUUCACAUGGACUUAGCUUCCUUCAGAAGCCCACAAGUAGCUUCCUGGGCAGGUUCAGCUCAUUGAUUUGCCACUGCCUUUAUUCUCCUGAAAUAUGACUUUCUAUUCAUGCUAUCCUGGUUUCUAUUCCACCCUGUAAUUUGUGCAAAAAAGCAAAGUAUCAGGCGUGCCUGCUUAACAGUCUAUUGACAUUUUGCAGAACAGAACAGAUUGGACCUAUUUUCUUUCUGCAAUCAGUUUAAAGUAUUUGAACCUUUCUAACAGCUGUGAGACAAUAUUUAUUCUUAGUCAGCAACUGAGUUCAUGAGUCUGACACCAUGUAAUGUAUGUAACUGUGUAUUAAACCACGCAGAGCCGCCUGAGGAAUGAGACAGAGCUUCGACAGGAGAUCAAGCAUGCUCUGAAAAGGACGCUUUGCGCUGCCUCCUCAGACGAAUAGACAUAGAGAUUGCUGGUGGUGGCCUGUGUCUGAUCUCUAGUUGAUGGAAUAUGAACAGAAGCCAUGGACACCCCUUCCACAUCUGGCCAUGUCAUACCAUCUUCCUGGCCCACAGCAAACCAAUAGACUACUGUCACCACUGCCACCACCACCAAAACAGACCUCAAGCUCAAACCUACUAUCAACAUUACAUCCAACUUUAAAGCUGGGCAAAGGAGCCAUCCAGCAUUCUUCUGAUAACCUCAAUUAGCUUAGAUUUGAGAGUACAAAUUGAAAUGAGAAAAGAAAUGCUUGAGCUGCUGGGAAGUGGCACUGACAUUACUGAGACUCUUUGGUGCUUUAAUUGUGCUGGGAAAAAAUACUAAUGGGGUCAAACAAUUGAAGGCUCAAUGAGAUGAAAACAACUGGGAGCAAGAAGGGAAAGAGGGGCGCGGGAGGCUGAGAGGUUAAUAUCAACUUCUGUCUAAUUUCGGAUUUGGAUUAAAAAACAGAGAAGCUCAAACCUGCUCAAAUCGUGCUGCCAUCUGUGACUCUGAUGUGGCAUUUGGAAGAGUAAAAACACAUGCUGGAAAAUUACCAAGACAAAGAAAAGUUCUGGAAUCUCGGCCCAGGAUUUUCCUUUGUGGCUAAAAGGCUGAGCUACUUUGGAAACAUUUGGAUUCCGUUUCUGUUUUAUCUGAGCCGCAAAGUAUCUCUUUCAAAGCACAGACAUUGGAUUCUAUAUAAGGAGGAACCUUUGUGAGUUAAUCCGACAUCAUUUUCCAGGCUUGUCUAGGAGUUACAUCAUUAAUAAAUGUGUUGGUAGUUAUCGAUUAUCUAACA
This is a long non-coding RNA of Vulpes vulpes (red fox), 1712 nucleotides long. NCBI's taxonomy places the organism in Eukaryota, Metazoa, Chordata, Mammalia, Carnivora, Canidae. The record is from Ensembl.